RNAcentral lists this transfer RNA (82 nucleotides) under Actinoplanes lobatus. RNAcentral describes it as "tRNA-OTHER". The record is from RNAcentral. Lineage: Bacteria; Bacillati; Actinomycetota; Actinomycetes; Micromonosporales; Micromonosporaceae.
GGGUGUUUGUGCCGGUAGAUCGACUCGGGUUGUCGAUCUCAUAAUUCCUCGGUCGCGGGUUCGAGUCCCGCCCGCCCCACCA